RNAcentral lists this long non-coding RNA (1031 nucleotides) under Panax ginseng (ginseng). RNAcentral's name for it is "long non-coding RNA (PGIN_LNC019150)". Lineage: Eukaryota; Viridiplantae; Streptophyta; Magnoliopsida; Apiales; Araliaceae. The record is from RNAcentral.
UAAUAAUAACUUUCUUCGUCAUGGAUGAUUAAUCGUUCAUGUUCUCUAUCUGCCCCCACAAAAAUUGAUGAAAUGAAAAUCACAUAUCAUUUACUAGCUUAUUCAAGAGUUGGCUGGCUGUUCUUCAAUUUUCCUGCAACUAUUUAUAGAGUAAUGUCACUCUCACCUUCCUGAUGCGAAGAAGUUACCUAUAAAUAUCUUUCACAAUUACUAACAUUUAUUCCAUAAUUAGACAUUAGAAAUAUUUGUUGUAAAAACCGGUAGUAUGGAGAAAUUGAUUCUAUUAAAUGGUCCACCAGAUAGAUCUUUCUUUUAGCUAUUAAGAUUUUUCUGGUGGUUCCAUAUGUUAAUUCUUCCCAUGCUUUAGUGUAGGCCCAUGAUCUGUGGUUGCAUAUGCUUUUGUUUCCUCUCCCUAUGUCACUAUGUGGGCUAUAAUACUUUAUUAGAUGCUGUUACUGGCUGCCAAAAUUUUCUCUUCCAAGUAUCUGGUUUUGUGGGCCAAUUUUUAAUUAUGAUCGCUGUUUUUGGAAGUACUUUCACAUAGACUGAAAUAUGUGUCUUCUGAAUUCUCGGAUCAACUUCUGUUAAUAUAAGUUUUUCCCCCUUGUAAAGGCAAUCUUACCUAUAUGUAGGGGACAGAUCAACAUAUCUCAGUCGUCCAUUCGUUUAUCGAAUGGUAAAAUAGAUCCCCGUCCUCAGUUUAAUAUGGGUGAUACCAUAGUUUAGUUUUGCUGACAGUAAUUUAUAUGAAAACGGUGCCAUUUGGAAUUAAGCUGCGGACGGGACUGUAGCGAAAAAUGACAUCAUUUAAGGGCCGUCCAUACCUAGCGUCCGCAGUUUAAUUUUGCGGGCGGGGAAUUUGUAGCUGGAGGGAUAUUUUGGACAUCUUUCCCGUCCGCGGAAUUAAACUGUGAUAUCACCCAUAUUAAACUGUGGACGGAGAUCUAUUUUACCGUUUAAUGAACGGAUGGACGAGUGAGAUCUGUUGUAAGGAUAACUGUAUCCUUACAACGUUAGAUAUGCCCCCAUAU